RNAcentral lists this long non-coding RNA (395 nucleotides) under Mytilus galloprovincialis (Mediterranean mussel). The record is from RNAcentral. Lineage: Eukaryota; Metazoa; Mollusca; Bivalvia; Mytilida; Mytilidae.
UAAAGAUAAUUAGGUCUUUCCACUUUUCUGUGGAAAGACCUAUUGUUUUUCUUCUGAUUAUUUUUUUUUUUUCUUCCGCCUAAUUUUGUUCUUGCGAUAAACAUUUGUUUCGCAAUAUGUCGCUUAGAUAUUUUGUAUAUGAUAUCGAACAGUUUAUGCGCUUUUGAAAUUUACCCUGCGUAAACGAAUACUUUUCUUUGUAGGAGUUAUCUCCCCAAACACUGUUUUCCUUGUUAUCGCAUCUCCUUCGCAACCGUAAAAGAUUAUGACAAAUUUAUUUUACAAAAUUCCUCGUUAUAUCCUUCGCAUGAUUUGUCCUAUUUUGACCGAAGCGAUAUGACCGCUCCAUAUGAGAGUUAUUUCCCCUUAUGCAUCUGAUAUAAGUGAUAUGAAUU